UCAUGCUGCUUCCUAUUGUGUCCCUGCUUCAAAAUGGAUGUGUAUGGCAUGCACAAUGUCUGUGAUCUGGGAAUUGGAUUUGGCUUUCAAUUUGACAUUCCAGCAAUUUUACGUUAUGGGACCUUGGUGCGGGAGCUCCACCUGACCGGAACUGGAAAGGAAUUGCUAUUGCUCUGCUGGUUAUAUUGGGGGUCUGCUCUCUUAUCACCAUGUCUGUCAUCCUCCUCACUCCAGCGGACAGCCAAGCUGGCAGUGAUACCAAACUCACAGUGGAAGAUCUGUUCAAGCCUGAGUUUGUUGCCCACGACCCGGAGGCCAAAUGGAU
Molecule: long non-coding RNA, 325 nt
Organism: Salvelinus namaycush (lake trout)
Lineage: Eukaryota; Metazoa; Chordata; Actinopteri; Salmoniformes; Salmonidae
Exons: 3
Source: RefSeq, a predicted model, not a curated record